AACAAUUGGUGGUCGGUAGGAGAUGCAUCCGAUCAGUCAUUUUUGGGAAUUUUUUGGUCAGCGAUCAAUGCAUCCGAUCUGCAACACUUGGCUAUUUUUGGAGCACUAAAACAAGCUUCAUUCAUCAUUAGUAAUAAAGGAGUACAGAGUUCAAAAUUAUAACUCUUACUGAUGACAUGCUCAGAGGUUAUCAGAGUUUCAUGCCUGAGGUACUAAAGUUCCAUCACGUUGCUUGAAUCGGUAAGUGCCAAGUUGUUGAUGACUUCCUUGAUCCUGUAUGUUCCUUCCUACUUAGCUGCAAGUUUUCUGUGAUCAUCUGUUGAGUCAUCUUGGCUUUUCUAAGGAUGAGAUCCCCUAACGAAAGAGUUUUGCCUUAACUUAGGAGUUGUAGUACCGAGCUACAUGUUGUUGAUAAGUAGCCAUAUGUACUCGAGCUCAUAUUCUUGCUUCUUCCAGUAAGUCCAAGACGACACAGAGAUCCUCAAAAUUUGCCUACCCGUCGUACAACUCUACUCGAUAAGAUGGGAGGCUGAUCUCCACAAGAAUAACAUUUUCAAUGCCGAAAGAGAAGUUGAAAGGGGUUUUUCCAAUCAGAAUUUGGUGAGUAAUAUGAUAGGCCCAAAGAACCCCCGAGCAUCUCAUCUACCCAAAGGCCUUUGGCUCGAUCAAGCUUGGUCUUUAGAUCCAGCAAAAUAAAGCAGUUAAUUUACCUCCGCUUCUUUAUUGGCUUGAAGAUGACCCAUCAAGAUGAACUAGUGGUCAAUAUCGAGUUUGGAGCAAAAUUCUUUCAACCAGGUAUUGUCGAACUGUCAGUCGUUGUCGGUGAUAAGAAUUUAGAGAAUUCCGAACCAAUAAAUUAUGGACUUUCAAACAAAACUCCGAGCAUUCUCCUCGGUGAUUUGAG
This 904-nucleotide long non-coding RNA is filed under the name Phoenix dactylifera (date palm). Its description in RNAcentral is "long non-coding RNA (PDAC_LNC007570)". The record is from RNAcentral. Lineage: Eukaryota; Viridiplantae; Streptophyta; Magnoliopsida; Arecales; Arecaceae.